UCUUCUCGACCAACCUAUCGUAGGGCAUGGAAGCUAUUUGAGCAAUUCCACGGGGUGUUGUUUCAGGGUUUUUCAAUAUCAUUUCCAAUGAAACCAGCUGUGUUGGCUUUGUUUGUCGCGCACCUGUACAAUAAACGGUACGCUUCAUCUACAGUUAACACCUACGUGUCCGCAUUAGGUUAUUUGCACAAAUUAUCCGGUUAUGCAGAUCCUACCAAGGUUUUUU
Non-coding RNA from Paramuricea clavata, 226 nucleotides. NCBI's taxonomy places the organism in Eukaryota, Metazoa, Cnidaria, Anthozoa, Malacalcyonacea, Plexauridae. The record is from the annotation of a GenBank genome assembly.